CAGACUGUAGCUUAUUUAAAGCUUAUUAUUUACAUUAAUAAGAAAAUUUUUAUUCUUUCUGA
This 62-nucleotide transfer RNA is filed under the name Cyphonia clavata. RNAcentral's name for it is "tRNA-Val". Lineage: Eukaryota; Metazoa; Arthropoda; Insecta; Hemiptera; Membracidae. The record is from RNAcentral.